GGCUUAUUGAUAAUAAUUUUAAGUCUGACCUGCCCUAUGAUGAAAAUUAAAUGGCUGCGGUAAUUUGACCGUGCAAAGGUAGCAUAAUCAUUAGUUUUUUAAUUGAAAGCUUGUAUGAAAGGUUUGAUGAGAAAAUAGCUGUCUCUAUUUAAAUUUUAGAAUUUUAUUUUUAAGUAAAAAAGCUUAAAUAAUUAUAGAAGACGAGAAGACCCUGUAGAGUUUUAUAAUUAUUUAAAUAAUUAAUAUUUAGAAUUAUAAUAUUUAUUUAAGUAAUUAUUUAGUUGGGGUGAUUGAAAAAUUAAUAGAACUUUUUUUAAAAAAUAACACUGAUUUGUGAUUAAUUGAUCCUUGAUUUAAGAUUAAAAGAUAAAAUUACCUCAGGGAUAACAGCGUAAUUUUUUUUAGAGUUCUGAUCAAAAAAAAAGAUUGCGACCUCGAUGUUGGAUUAAAGUAAAAUAUAGGUGUAGAAGCUUAUAGGUUAGGUCUGUUCGACCUUUAAAACUUUACAUGAUCUGAGUUUAAACCGGUGUAAG
Molecule: ribosomal RNA, 533 nt
Filed under: Cryptorhynchinae gen. sp. ARC4831
Lineage: Eukaryota; Metazoa; Arthropoda; Insecta; Coleoptera; Curculionidae
Description: partial 16S large subunit ribosomal RNA
Rfam family: Bacterial large subunit ribosomal RNA
Source: RNAcentral